This 86-nucleotide transfer RNA is filed under the name Amphibacillus indicireducens. Its description in RNAcentral is "tRNA-Tyr". It matches the Rfam family "tRNA". Rfam says of the family: Transfer RNA (tRNA) molecules are approximately 80 nucleotides in length. Their secondary structure includes four short double-helical elements and three loops (D, anti-codon, and T loops). RNAcentral also lists the same sequence under 1 other name. The record is from RNAcentral. Lineage: Bacteria; Bacillati; Bacillota; Bacilli; Caryophanales; Bacillaceae.
GGAGGGAUAGCGAAGUUGGUCAAACGCGGCGGACUGUAAAUCCGCUCCCAUCGGGUUCGUAGGUUCGAGUCCUACUCCCUCCACCA